GUCGAGCGGACCGACGGGAGCUUGCUCCCUUAGGUCAGCGGCGGACGGGUGAGUAACACGUGGGUAACCUGCCUGUAAGACUGGGAUAACUCCGGGAAACCGGGGCUAAUACCGGAUGCUUGAUUGAACCGCAUGGUUCAAUCAUAAAAGGUGGCUUUUAGCUACCACUUACAGAUGGACCCGCGGCGCAUUAGCUAGUUGGUGAGGUAACGGCUCACCAAGGCGACGAUGCGUAGCCGACCUGAGAGGGUGAUCGGCCACACUGGGACUGAAACACGGCCCAGACUCCUACGGGAGGCAGCAGUAGGGAAUCUUCCGCAAUGGACGAAAGUCUGACGGAACAACGCCGCGUGAGUGAUGAAGGUUUUCGGAUCGUAAAACUCUGUUGUUAGGGAAGAACAAGUACCGUUCGAAUAGGGCGGUACCUUGACGGUACCUAACCAGAAAGCCACGGCUAACUACGUGCCAGCAGCCGCGGUAAUACGUAGGUGGCAAGCGUUGUCCGGAAUUAUUGGGCGUAAAGCGCGCGCAGGCGGUUUCUUAAGUCUGAUGUGAAAGCCCCCGGCUCAACCGGGGAGGGUCAUUGGAAACUGGGGAACUUGAGUGCAGAAGAGGAG
RNAcentral lists this ribosomal RNA (617 nucleotides) under Bacillus licheniformis. Its description in RNAcentral is "bacterial SSU rRNA". It matches the Rfam family "Bacterial small subunit ribosomal RNA", at positions 61 to 659 of the family's 1533-position model. Lineage: Bacteria; Bacillati; Bacillota; Bacilli; Caryophanales; Bacillaceae. The record is from RNAcentral.